Molecule: long non-coding RNA, 1673 nt
Organism: Felis catus (domestic cat)
Lineage: Eukaryota; Metazoa; Chordata; Mammalia; Carnivora; Felidae
Exons: 3
Source: RefSeq, a predicted model, not a curated record
AUAGGUGUCUUAGGUGUUCUUUGGCUUGCAGAAAGCCGGCUGCUAUGCCGUAAACUGUUCUUAUGGAGAAGCCCACGUACCAAGGAACUGAAGUCUCCGGCCGGUGAGAAGUCUCUGCCAACAACCAGAAUUUUCUAGACUGGAGCAUUUCCCCUGUCAGCCUCCAGCCUCCACCCUGGCUUCAAACUGAAGCUCCUGCAGCCCCCUGACUUAAAAUGCCGUGCGAACUCCAUUAUUCCUUUCUUGAAAUGCAUCCACUCGAACUGCACAUUCUUUAUAAAGACUGAUGCAUUUGAGACAAAACCAGUAAGAAAGCAAGAAGCAGGAGCCAUCUUUAAGCAUCCCAAGUCAAAUCAAGCCUUUAAAGGUAGAAAUGAUAAAGAAGUUGUUUACUAUGGUCCAUUGUGAAAGAGAUCAUUUGGCACACAUCUCACAAAUGGAGAACAAAAAAUGGGAGUGGAGGUGGGAGAGGGGGGCGUACAUAUGUAGAAAUUACCAGAGUUUAGGCCCUUGGCUUCUCAGCCUGCGAAUCCUGGCUAUGAUCAGAUUUGGGUACACGAACUUUCCAGAGAUUGCUGGAGAAGAAAUCACCUGCUGGCUGUGUUCUGCUGGUUGGGUCGGGAAGGAAUAGGUUUACCCAAGCACUCAAUUUUUACUGCAGUUAUACAUGCCAGCACCAGGGGAAAUGGAUGGUAACCAAUUGUCUGUGUGCUUUUGUUAGUGUCUCUUUUCUGUGGGGUUGGUCUACCCAAUUACCGGAGCCCUUGAGAAUGCUUAUCGUCAAUGGGAGUAAUUUCACAUCCUAUCCAUUUAGUGAAAAGCUGUGAAAAUUGAUCUCGGUUCUGUGGUAAGAUUGGAACCAGAGCGCAGGCUACAGAUGCCUUGGAAAUAAAUAUGUGCCCAUCAUUGUUUUCAUUAGGUGUUGCAGUAGACCAGCCUCCAGGAGAAUGAACUCUAGUCGGGCUCUUUCUGUAGAAGUUCAGAUGUGUCCCCAACCUGGUGAAGUAGGCUGGCAGUUUCAUUUAUUGUUAGAUUUUUUGUAGUGGUUGUCAAGUAAGGGGCUGGCAGCCCUGAAGAGCGCAGUUCUCGGUUUUAUCCACAGACAGGAGACAAUGUAAUUUGACACUUACUGCCAAGGAGGAACCUGUCCUUCCAAUUCAGCUUAUUGGUUUUUGUUUUUUUUCUUCUUUUUCUUACGGGCUCUGUAGGAUUUCAAAAGUCUCUUCAAAGGGCAGCAAAAUUAGCCUUAAAUAGUAUUUCUUGGAUGGUUUUUAACAAUGGCAGUAAGGCCAAAGCUUCUCAUCUUGACAUAAGUGGUUCCUUUACAACUUGUUUUUAUCUUGCCAGAAAAAGCAAAAUACAGUACUUUAAAAUGUAUUUUCAUUAAGGCGAAAGACCUUGUUUUAGCUGAGAUCUGCAAGGAGAGAACCAAUCUGCAAAUGUGUUUCUUACAUCUCUCUUUAGCUUUCUGCUCCUAAAGCAAAAAGUAGGCGGGUUUUGUUUGUUUGUGUUGUAUUGAGGACUGGCCUUCACUUAGCACAAUUCACAUAGCAACAAAAAUUUGUGUUGCCUAAGUUCUACAUUUCACUGUCAAGAAUCAAACUUUUAAAGGGACAUUCAAAAAAAAAACUUUUUUUUUUUUUUUUUUAAAGGAGCGCUGGGUGGCUCAGUCG